RNAcentral lists this ribosomal RNA (450 nucleotides) under uncultured bacterium. RNAcentral describes it as "bacterial SSU rRNA". It matches the Rfam family "Bacterial small subunit ribosomal RNA", at positions 354 to 796 of the family's 1533-position model. The record is from RNAcentral.
GUGGGGAAUUUUGGACAAUGGGCGCAAGCCUGAUCCAGCAAUGCCGCGUGCAGGAAGAAGGCCUUCGGGUUGUAAACUGCUUUUGUACGGAACGAAACGGUCCUGGUUAAUACCCGGGGCUAAUGACGGUACCGUAAGAAUAAGCACCGGCUAACUACGUGCCAGCAGCCGCGGUAAUACGUAGGGUGCAAGCGUUAAUCGGAAUUACUGGGCGUAAAGCGUGCGCAGGCGGUUUUGUAAGACAGGCGUGAAAUCCCCGGGCUCAACCGGGGAAUUGCGCUUGUGACUGCAAGGCUGGAGUGCGGCAGAGGGGGAUGGAAUUCCGCGUGUAGCAGUGAAAUGCGUAGAUAUGCGGAGGAACACCGAUGGCGAAGGCAAUCCCCUGGGCCUGCACUGACGCUCAUGCACGAAAGCGUGGGGAGCAAACAGGAUUAGAAACCCUUGUAGUCC